UACGGAGGAUGCGAGCGUUAUCCGGAUUUAUUGGGUUUAAAGGGUGCGCAGGCGGCACGGCAAGCCGGCGGUCAAAUCGCGGGGCUCAACCCCGCCCAGCCGUCGGAACUGCCGGGCUAGAGUGGGCGAGAAGUGCGCGGAAUGCGUGGUGUAGCGGUGAAAUGCAUAAAUAUCACGCAGAACUCCGAUUGCGAAGGCAGCGCACCGGCGCCCUACUGACGCUCAGGCACGAAAGCGUGGGUAUCGAACAGG
RNAcentral lists this ribosomal RNA (252 nucleotides) under uncultured bacterium. RNAcentral describes it as "partial 16S ribosomal RNA". It matches the Rfam family "Bacterial small subunit ribosomal RNA", at positions 524 to 776 of the family's 1533-position model. The record is from RNAcentral.